UACGUAGGGAGCAAGCGUUGUCCGGAUUUAUUGGGCGUAAAGAGCUCGUAGGCGGCUUAGAAAGUCAGGUGUGAAAACUCUGGGCUCAACCCAGAGACGCCACUUGAUACUUCUAUGGCUUGAGUUCGGUAGGGGACCAUGGAAUUCCUGGUGUAGCGGUGAAAUGCGCAGAUAUCAGGAGGAACACCGAUGGCGAAGGCAGUGGUCUGGGCCGAUACUGACGCUGAGGAGCGAAAGCGUGGGUAGCAAACAGG
This 254-nucleotide ribosomal RNA is filed under the name uncultured bacterium. Its description in RNAcentral is "partial 16S ribosomal RNA". It matches the Rfam family "Bacterial small subunit ribosomal RNA", at positions 524 to 776 of the family's 1533-position model. The record is from RNAcentral.